CGCUAGCGACAGGCUUAACACAUGCAAGUCGAGGGGCAGCAUGAUUUGUAGCAAUACAGAUUGAUGGCGACCGGCGCACGGGUGAGUAACGCGUAUGCAACUUACCUAUCAGAGGGGGAUAGCCCGGCGAAAGUCGGAUUAAUACCCCAUAAAACAGGGGUCCCGCAUGGGAAUAUUUGUUAAAGAUUCAUCGCUGAUAGAUAGGCAUGCGUUCCAUUAGGCAGUUGGCGGGGCAACGGCCCACCAAACCGACGAUGGAUAGGGGUUCUGAGAGGAAGGUCCCCCACAUUGGUACUGAGACACGCACCAAACUCCUACGGGAGGCAGCAGUGACGAAUAUUGGCCAAUGGCCGAGAGGCUGAACCAGCCAAGUCGCGUGAAGGAAGAAGGAUCUAUGGUUUGUAAACUUCUUUUAUAGGGGAAUAAAGUGGACGACGUGUCCUUUUUUGUAUGUACCCUAUGAAUAAACAUCGGCUAACUCCGUGCCACCAGCCGCGGUAAUACGGAGGAUGCGAGCGUUAUCCGGAUUUAUUGCGUUUAAAGGGUGCGUAGGUGGUGAUUUAAGUCACCGGUGAAACUUUGUGGCUCACCCAUAAAAUUGCCGUUGAAACUGGGUUACUUGAGUGUGUUUGAGGUAGGCGGAAUGCGUGGUGUAGCGGUGAAAUGCAUAGAUAUCACGCAGAACUCCGAUUGCGAAGGCAGCUUACUAAACCAUAACUGACACUGAAGCACGAAAGCGUGGGGAUCAAACAGGAUUAGAUACCCUGGUAGUCCACGCAGUAAACGAUGAUUACUAGGAGUUUGCGAUACAAUGUAAGCUCUACAGCGAAAGCGUUAAGUAAUCCACCUGGGGAGUACGCCGGCAACGGUGAAACUCAAAGGAAUUGACGGGGGCCCGCACAAGCGGAGGAACAUGUGGUUUAAUUCGAUGAUACGCGAGGAACCUUACCCGGGUUUGAACGUAGUCUGACCGGAGUGGAAACACUCUUUCUAGCAAUAGCAGAUUACGAGGUGCUGCAUGGUUGUCGUCAGCUCGUGCCGUGAGGUGUCGGCUUAAGUGCCAUAACGAGCGCAACCCUUAUCACUAGUUACUAACAGGUGAAGCUGAGGACUCUGGUGAGACUGCCAGCGUAAGCUGUGAGGAAGGUGGGGAUGACGUCAAAUCAGCACGGCCCUUACAUCCGGGGCGACACACGUGUUACAAUGGCAUGGACAAAGGGCAGCUACCUGGUGACAGGAUGCUAAUCUCCAAACCAUGUCUCAGUUCGGAUCGGAGUCUGCAACUCGACUCCGUGAAGCUGGAUUCGCUAGUAAUCGCGCAUCAGCCAUGGCGCGGUGAAUACGUUCCCGGGCCUUGUACACACCGCCCGUCAAGCCAUGGGAGCCGGGGGUACCUGAAGUCCGUAACCGCAAGGAUCGGCCUAGGGUAAAACUGGUGACUGGGGCU
RNAcentral lists this ribosomal RNA (1447 nucleotides) under uncultured organism. RNAcentral describes it as "SSU rRNA". It matches the Rfam family "Bacterial small subunit ribosomal RNA". The record is from RNAcentral.